RNAcentral lists this ribosomal RNA (339 nucleotides) under uncultured bacterium. RNAcentral's name for it is "bacterial SSU rRNA". It matches the Rfam family "Bacterial small subunit ribosomal RNA", at positions 30 to 369 of the family's 1533-position model. The record is from RNAcentral.
AUUGAACGCUGGCGGCAUGCCUUACACAUGCAAGUCGAACGGCAGCACGGGAGCAAUCCUGGUGGCGAGUGGCGAACGGGUGAGUAAUAUAUCGGAACGUGCCCGGUCGUGGGGGAUAACGUAGCGAAAGCUACGCUAAUACCGCAUACGAUCUACGGAUGAAAGCGGGGGAUCGCAAGACCUCGCGCGAUUGGAGCGGCCGAUAUCAGAUUAGGUAGUUGGUGAGGUAAAGGCUCACCAAGCCGACGAUCUGUAGCUGGUCUGAGAGGACGACCAGCCACACUGGGACUGAGACACGGCCCAGACUCCUACGGGAGGCAGCAGUGGGGAAUUUUGGAC